AAACGCCCGGCGGUGUGCCUAAUACAUGCAAGUCGUACGCACUGGCCCAACUGAAUUGAUGGUGCUUGCACCUGAUUGACGUUGAAUCACCCAGUGAGUGGCGGACGGGUGAGUAACACGUAGGUUAACCUGCCCCGGAGCGGGGGAUAACAUUUGGAAACAGAUGCUAAUACCGCAUAACAACAAAAGCCACAUGGCUUUUGUUUGAAAGAUGGCUUUAGCUAUCACUCUGGGAUGGACCUGCGGUGCAUUAGCUAGUUGGUAAGGUAACGGCUUACCAAGGGCGAUGAUGCAUAGCCGAGUUGAGAGACUGAUCGGCCACAAUGGAACUGAGACACGGUCCAUACUCCUACGGGAGGCAGCAGUAGGGAAUCUUCCCAAUGGGCGCAGCCUGAUGGAGCACACCGCGUGAGUGAAAAGGGUUCGCUCGUAAGCUCUGUGUGGAAAAACGUG
This 453-nucleotide ribosomal RNA is filed under the name uncultured bacterium. Its description in RNAcentral is "bacterial SSU rRNA". It matches the Rfam family "Bacterial small subunit ribosomal RNA", at positions 36 to 449 of the family's 1533-position model. The record is from RNAcentral.